This 705-nucleotide long non-coding RNA is filed under the name Sorghum bicolor (sorghum). RNAcentral describes it as "long non-coding RNA (SBIC_LNC001925)". The record is from RNAcentral. Lineage: Eukaryota; Viridiplantae; Streptophyta; Magnoliopsida; Poales; Poaceae.
UGUGGUUUAUGUCGUGAGUUGUUUGAUGAUGCAACCUUAUCUCCUUUUUUGAAAUGAAAUAUUCAUGACAUCUAUAUGACAACCUAGACUUGGUCAGGCUUUUCUAUUUCGUCUUUCUUGUACCACUUUACUCAAUGUUGGUGGUUUGUUUUUCAGCUUGACCAUGUGACAUUGGUUAUGUCAUGAUUACAAAAACGAGUAUGCAAUUUUUUUUUCUUGUAGAUGGCUUAUUAGUGCAUCACCCGUUUUUUUUUUAAUUUGCAACAAGUGACUGCCAGCAACAAAAGAAUGGACCAUUGUUUUUCAUGACAAAUAAGCAUAUCUGUCCAAUAAAUUGUGUCCAUUAUAUUAGCUUGCCCAUCACAUAUGAUAGUAUGUUUUACAAGUUGUCGUUUGGGUUUUUGUCUUUAUUAGCAUGGUGUACGUGUUUCAUUUGUAUUUUAGCAUGUAUUAUGUUGUGUAGCUGGUAUUCCAAAACAAACAAAACAAAUAUGAUAGAUUGGCGCUUGUCUAUGUCCAAGUGUAUUUUGAUCGGGUAAUUAUUAUUAAUUUGCAAGCUAGUGAUCUAGAUAUGCUCCAGCUCUUUUGUCAAAAAGCCUCAUGAUACAGCACUUGUUCUAUAAGCAAUAAUACAAUUCAUUAUUCCAUUUUUCUAAUUUUCGUAAGAUAAGGUGGACAACAAGCAUGUUAGCGUACAAGGAGCAA